This 472-nucleotide ribosomal RNA is filed under the name uncultured bacterium. RNAcentral describes it as "bacterial SSU rRNA". It matches the Rfam family "Bacterial small subunit ribosomal RNA", at positions 30 to 507 of the family's 1533-position model. The record is from RNAcentral.
AUUGAACGCUGGCGGCAGGCCUAACACAUGCAAGUCGAGCGGGGUUUUCGGACCUAGCGGCGGACGGGUGAGUAAUGCGUAGGAAGCUACCCGAUAGAGGGGGAUACCAGUUGGAAACGACUGUUAAUACCGCAUAAUGUCUACGGACCAAAGUGUGGGACCUUCGGGCCACAUGCUAUCGGAUGCGCCUACGUGGGAUUAGCUAGUUGGUGGGGUAAAGGCUCACCAAGCCAACGAUCUGUAGCUGGUCUGAGAGGACGACCAGCCACACUGGAACUGAGACACGGUCCAGACUCCUACGGGAGGCAGCAGUGGGGAAUUUUGGACAAUGGACGCAAGUCUGAUCCAGCCAUUCCGCGUGCAGGAUGAAGGCCCUCGGGUUGUAAACUGCUUUUGUACGGAACGAAAAGGUCUCUAUUAAUACUAGGGGCUCAUGACGGUACCGUAAGAAUAAGCACCGGCUAACUACGUG